Molecule: ribosomal RNA, 392 nt
Filed under: uncultured bacterium
Lineage: Bacteria
Description: bacterial SSU rRNA
Rfam family: Bacterial small subunit ribosomal RNA
Source: RNAcentral
GAUGAACGCUGGCGGCGUGCCUAACACAUGCAAGUCGAGCGAUUCUCUUCGGAGAAGAGCGGCGGACGGGUGAGUAACGCGUGGGUAACCUGCCCUGUACACACGGAUAACAUACCGAAAAGGUAUGCUAAUACGAGAUAAAUAUGCUUUUUUAUCGCAUGGUAGAAGUAUCAAAAGCUCCGGCGGUACAGGAUGGACCCGCGUCUGAUUAGCUAGUUGGUAAGGUAACGGCUUACCAAGGCGACGAUCAGUAGCCGACCUGAGAGGUGAUCGGCCACAUUGGAACUGAGACACGGUCCAAACUCCUACGGAGGCAGCAGUGGGGAAUAUUGCACAAUGGGCGAAAGCCUGAUGCAGCAAACGCCGCGUGAGCGAUGAAAGGCCUUCGGUCG